GAUGAACGCUGGCGGCGUGCCUCAAACAUGCAAGUCGAGCGGGGCUAUGUAAUACCGCAAGGUAGAACAUAGCCUAGCGGCGAACGGGUGAGUAACACGUGGGUAACCUGCCUGGAAGACAGGGAUAACGAUUCGAAAGGGUCGCUAAUACCUGAUAAUAUCCUUUCAUCGCAUGGUGAUAGGAAGAAAGGGGAAACCCGCUUUCAGAUGGGCCCGCGUCCCAUCAGCUAGUUGGUAAGGUAAAGGCUUACCAAGGCGACGACGGGUAGCCGGUCUGAGAGGAUGUACGGCCACACUGGGACUGAGAUACGGCCCAGACUCCUACGGGAGGCAGCAGUUGGGAAUCUUAGGCAAUGGACGAAAGUCUGACCUAGCGACGCCGCGUGAGGGAAGAAGGCCUUCGGGUUGUAAACCUCUGUCAUGGGGAAGAAGUAAGUGACGGUACCCAAGAGGAAGCCCCUGCUAACUACGUG
This 473-nucleotide ribosomal RNA is filed under the name uncultured bacterium. Its description in RNAcentral is "bacterial SSU rRNA". It matches the Rfam family "Bacterial small subunit ribosomal RNA", at positions 28 to 507 of the family's 1533-position model. The record is from RNAcentral.